This 484-nucleotide ribosomal RNA is filed under the name uncultured bacterium. RNAcentral's name for it is "partial 16S ribosomal RNA". It matches the Rfam family "Bacterial small subunit ribosomal RNA", at positions 29 to 507 of the family's 1533-position model. The record is from RNAcentral.
AUUGAACGCUGGCGGAAUGCUUUACACAUGCAAGUCGAACGGCAGCACGGGGGCAGCUCUGGUGGCGAGUGGCGAACGGGUGAGUAAUACAUCGGUACGUGCCCUGCCGUGGGGGAUAACGCAGCGAAAGUUACGCUAAUACCGCAUACGAUCUGAGGAUGAAAGCGGGGGACCUUCGGGCCUUGCGCGAUCGGAGGGGCCGAUGUCAGAUUAGGUAGUUGGUGGGGUAAAGGGCGACCAAGCCGACGAUCUGUAGCUGGUCUGAGAGGCUGACAAGCCACACUGGAACUGAGACACGGCCCAGACUCCUACGGGAGGCAGCAGUGGGGAAUUUUGGACAAUGGGCGCAAGCCUGAUCCAGCCAUUCCGCGUGCAGGACGAAGGCCUUCGGGUUGUAAACUGCUUUUGUACGGAACGAAAAGGCGCUGGCUAAUACCUGGGGGUCAUGACGGUACCGAAAGAAUAAGCACCGGCUAACUACGUG